This 68-nucleotide transfer RNA is filed under the name bovine gut metagenome. It matches the Rfam family "tRNA". Rfam says of the family: Transfer RNA (tRNA) molecules are approximately 80 nucleotides in length. Their secondary structure includes four short double-helical elements and three loops (D, anti-codon, and T loops). The record is from RNAcentral.
CCUGUAGCUCAACUGGAUAGAGCAACGCCCUUCUAAGGCGUAGGUCGGGGGUUCGAGUCCCUCCAGGC